Papio anubis (olive baboon) is the source of this 104-nucleotide small nuclear RNA. Its record names the gene U2. It matches the Rfam family "U2 spliceosomal RNA". Rfam says of the family: U2 is a small nuclear RNA (snRNA) component of the spliceosome (involved in pre-mRNA splicing). Complementary binding between U2 snRNA (in an area lying towards the 5' end but 3' to hairpin I) and the branchpoint sequence (BPS) of the intron results the bulging out of an unpaired adenosine, on the BPS, which initiates a nucleophilic attack at the intronic 5' splice site, thus starting the first of two transesterification reactions that mediate splicing. The record is from Ensembl. NCBI's taxonomy places the organism in Eukaryota, Metazoa, Chordata, Mammalia, Primates, Cercopithecidae.
AUCACUUCUUGGCCUUUUGGCUAAGAUCAAGUGUAGUAUCUGUUCUGAUCAGUUUAAUAUCUGGAAGAAAAAGAAAGAAAUAAUUAAAUCUGGAAGGAAGGAAU